GGCUCCGCGCGAGGGCCGCCGGAUGAGAACCCGAGAAGCUCGGGUUCUCGGGUGGGGAGUCGGGCGCGCUGGCAGCCCUAAGUACCCCCCGAGAUUUACAGUAACUCACGGCACCAGCACGGAGGCGGGAGCGGCGUAAGUUGAGGAUAGUGCCAGGAUCCUUAACCAGAUGUGGAGUCGGCAGGUAGUAGUGGAAACACCACGUGCCGGAGCCAAAGCGAUCUGCGCUUGAACCCUGGGUCUUCCUCCACUUACUCUGCAACUUGGGGCAAGUCACUGUGGACUCAAAACAGAAGAACUCUCAUUGACUUAUCUUUCUGAAGUAUCAUUCUGACUGACAUCUUUUUGAAGAAGGCAAUGAAGCUGGAUAAUCUCCCACCUACUUAAUGGUUCCUUCUCAGAUUCUAGCAUUUUAAGGCUCGGUCAAGA
Molecule: long non-coding RNA, 429 nt
Organism: Prionailurus viverrinus (fishing cat)
Lineage: Eukaryota; Metazoa; Chordata; Mammalia; Carnivora; Felidae
Exons: 3
Source: RefSeq, a predicted model, not a curated record